This 1040-nucleotide ribosomal RNA is filed under the name Staphylococcus aureus. RNAcentral describes it as "bacterial SSU rRNA". It matches the Rfam family "Bacterial small subunit ribosomal RNA", at positions 44 to 1067 of the family's 1533-position model. Lineage: Bacteria; Bacillati; Bacillota; Bacilli; Caryophanales; Staphylococcaceae. The record is from RNAcentral.
GGGUCUAUCAUGCAAGUCGAGCGAACGGACGAGAAGCUUGCUUCUCUGAUGUUAGCGGCGGACGGGUGAGUAACACGUGGAUAACCUACCUAUAAGACUGGGAUAACUUCGGGAAACCGGAGCUAAUACCGGAUAAUAUUUUGAACCGCAUGGUUCAAAAGUGAAAGACGGUCUUGCUGUCACUUAUAGAUGGAUCCGCGCUGCAUUAGCUAGUUGGUAAGGUAACGGCUUACCAAGGCAACGAUGCAUAGCCGACCUGAGAGGGUGAUCGGCCACACUGGAACUGAGACACGGUCCAGACUCCUACGGGAGGCAGCAGUAGGGAAUCUUCCGCAAUGGGCGAAAGCCUGACGGAGCAACGCCGCGUGAGUGAUGAAGGUCUUCGGAUCGUAAAACUCUGUUAUUAGGGAAGAACAUAUGUGUAAGUAACUGUGCACAUCUUGACGGUACCUAAUCAGAAAGCCACGGCUAACUACGUGCCAGCAGCCGCGGUAAUACGUAGGUGGCAAGCGUUAUCCGGAAUUAUUGGGCGUAAAGCGCGCGUAGGCGGUUUUUUAAGUCUGAUGUGAAAGCCCACGGCUCAACCGUGGAGGGUCAUUGGAAACUGGAAAACUUGAGUGCAGAAGAGGAAAGUGGAAUUCCAUGUGUAGCGGUGAAAUGCGCAGAGAUAUGGAGGAACACCAGUGGCGAAGGCGACUUUCUGGUCUGUAACUGACGCUGAUGUGCGAAAGCGUGGGGAUCAAACAGGAUUAGAUACCCUGGUAGUCCACGCCGUAAACGAUGAGUGCUAAGUGUUAGGGGGUUUCCGCCCCUUAGUGCUGCAGCUAACGCAUUAAGCACUCCGCCUGGGGAGUACGACCGCAAGGUUGAAACUCAAAGGAAUUGACGGGGACCCGCACAAGCGGUGGAGCAUGUGGUUUAAUUCGAAGCAACGCGAAGAACCUUACCAAAUCUUGACUUCCUUUGACCACUCUAGAGAUAGAGCUUUCCCUUCGGGGGACAAGUGACAGGUGGUGCAUGGUUGUCGUCAGCUCGUGUCU